This 515-nucleotide ribosomal RNA is filed under the name Timoniella cf. balthica AB-2017. RNAcentral describes it as "partial large subunit ribosomal RNA". The record is from RNAcentral. Lineage: Eukaryota; Metazoa; Platyhelminthes; Trematoda; Opisthorchiida; Cryptogonimidae.
GCUCAGAGGUAAACGGGUGGAGUUGAACUGUGAUCUCUGUGAAUUUAGCUGGUGAGCAUGGUUUGGGCUUGGUCAAAUUGGUUGAAGCCGGGAAUCUGCGUAGCAGCAGGUCCUCACCUUCUGGUGGGGAUGCGCGAUGCACUUAUCAAGUGUUGCGCGUUCCAUGUUUUUCGUGCCAGCUUGCCAGUGCACUUUUGCAGAGUGGUCACCACGACCGGCAUUGCUGUCUGGCUGUUGUGGUUAAACCGGCCUUCCUUUGUCCUUGUGGCUUUGGAUUGUCGGGAUGGCAGGUAACUCGCUUGCUUGGCUUGUGGUUCGCUGCAGGUUUUGGCUCUCGGGUGUAAUCGGCUGACCGCAUCGGUUCUGUGCAGUAUGUCGGAGAUGGCGGCUUGUGGUACAUGCGUGCGUGCCAGUUGGCUGGCGUGUCCGUGUUUGGUUGUCAUGUUGCUUGUGUAAACAGGCCUGGCGAUAGCUCGGAUUCGUUUGGCUGGCGGUUGUGUGCGUAGUGCUUUCCA